AAAGUCGUAACAAGGUUUCCGUAGGUGAACCUGCGGAAGGAUCAUCAUAGGAUUUUAUAGAUAGCCUGGGUUUUCCACAGUUGGCCCUUUGAUGGGUGCCUGUGGGGGACCCAUCCUAUACUCAUUCCCAGCAAAUUGUAUUUUUGGAGGGAGCUUGGUUGACUGAGCAAUGCGAGAGGACAUGUGGGGAGAAAAGAGCAAAACAACUUUCAACAACGGAUCUCUUGGCUCUC
Molecule: unclassified non-coding RNA, 233 nt
Filed under: Basidiomycota sp.
Lineage: Eukaryota; Fungi; Basidiomycota
Description: partial contains small subunit ribosomal RNA, internal transcribed spacer 1, and 5.8S ribosomal RNA
Rfam family: Eukaryotic small subunit ribosomal RNA (bases 1-47)
Source: RNAcentral